Long non-coding RNA from Gasterosteus aculeatus aculeatus (three-spined stickleback), 2682 nucleotides. Lineage: Eukaryota; Metazoa; Chordata; Actinopteri; Perciformes; Gasterosteidae. The record is from Ensembl.
AACACGAGUACUUAGUUACACGAAUAAACACAUGGUUCAUUGCCGUCGUAUUGUGCGUGUAGCUCAUCGCGUGAGGCCUCGUCCACAGGGGGGCCGCUGUUGUCUCUGAAUCUGUGGGAUCGGCGGCCGUGAAGAAGCUUUUCCUGCACAAACCAGCCGAUUCUGUUGGGAGACGCGAGACGAGCGUCUCACAAACGCAUGAAGCGCUGAAUGUCGCGCAGCGAUUGUGUGUUUUUGUGUCGCUGCGGGCGGCGAGUCCCACGACGAACGCUCUUCUAGUCCAAUUAGCUCCUCUUGGUCCCUCCCGGGCCCUCUGAGGAGCACGUAUCUAAAACAACAACCCCCCGUCCCCUCCGAGGGGCAGAUUGAAGACAAAAUGAAUACAAGUUUGUUGUGAUCGCCUUUAAACGUUGAAGCCUCGGGUUUAAAUACGCCACAUUUUAGUUGCUAAAUAGAGGAAGAGGCUAAAACGUGAGCGCCUUCUUCAAGAGAGAAGCGACACAUAUCGACCCGUGUGUGUGUCUGUGUGCCCUGCAGAGGGCUCGUGUGCAUGCAGAUUGUGUGUGUGUGUGUGUGUGUGUGUGUGUAUGUGUGCCCUGCAGAGGGCUUGUGUGCAUGCAGAUUGUGUGUGUGUGCCCUGCAGAGGGCUCGUGUGCAUGCAGAUUGUGUGUGUGUGUGCCCUGCAGAGGGCUCGUGUGCAUGCAGAUUGUGUGUGUGUGUCUGUGCCUUGCAGAGGGCUUGUGUGCAUGCAGAUUGUGUGUGUGUGUGUGUGUGUGUCUGUGCCCUGCAGAGGGCUUGUAUGCAUGCAGAUUGUGUGUGUGUGUCUGUGCCCUGCAGAGGGAUUGUGUGCAUGCAGAUUGUGUGUGUGUGUCUGUGCCCUGCAGAGGGAUUGUGUGCAUGCAGAUUGCGUAUGUGUGUGUGUGUCUGUGUGCGCUGGGCUUGUGCACAUUGUGUACCUCGCUGGAUUUUAAACUUUUAGUUGGACAUUUCCCCCCGAAGACACAAGCACAGCGAAACAAAGAGUGGAGAAAAGACGCAGAGGACGCUGAAUACAAAGACAGACACGCGGCGGUCGAUAAGCGGCCUGCGGCUCGCCGGCGAGGAUCACCGGACGCCACGUUGAGCCCUCUUCAGCCUCGACGUGGGACUCGGCUAAAUGUCAGCCGGCUGGCGCUUUGUGGACGGGAAUCAGGCGCCAUUGUCUGUGUUGUUUGGGACGGCUGCUGUUCAUGUAGUCUUUUUUUUGAGCAAAAUGGGAGAGGGCAAGACGGGGGGAGGAAAGUGUGGGGGGGGGGCUAAGCGUUUAAUCUCCUGCGGCGCGAAAACACAAACCGCCUUGUAAUCGUCCGACCUUGACACCGGCAGCAAGGUCGCGAGGGAGCCGGCGAGCUUCGCGUUUCCCACGGACGCUUCGCCCAGACGCAAAGGAGCAUUAUUGGGAUGGACGGAGAGGGAUAUCGAGUCCGUCUCCCUCCCUCCUCCACCCGCCAGCACCUCCUCCUCCUGCUCCUGCUGCUCCAGCACAUCUGGGACUGAUGAGGAAGUCAGCAAUGGUCUGAAGUUAAACAUCAUAGAGGGAACUCUGCUAAUUACAAGACUUUAUUUUGUAUCCAAGCGAAUUUGUUUAGUUCUCAGAGAGGAUGAUUCGCUCCAGAGGCUGCGUGGCCGGGUGAAUGCCUCAUUGCUCAGGAAGAAAACAAAGAGAACCAAACAUUUAACAUGGGAAUAACAUUUAAAUGGAGAGAAAAAUAUGAAUUCUUUUGCCUGCUUUCAAAACUAAACAGAAAUAGCGAACAAUGAGCUAAUUGUUUCUCUUAGUAUCUGUAUGUUGGGAUUCACACACUGAGUGCGCUCAUGUAUUAAUGCUGUGCGUGUGUGUGUGUGUGUGUUUGGCUCUGUGCGUCGGCCCUUGUGUCAGCUUCAUGUAAUUAAGGUCCUUUGUCCUCACGUCGCCUCCAGGCUUGAAUAUGCUGUGAGUGGAGAUAUGAUUCUGCAGGCCCAUUUAAUGUCUGUUUACCCCUGUUGGAUUAUAAUGAACUGUGCUCUGUGAACAAAGCCUCCUCAGCAUCUUAUCAACACAAAGUUCCUUCUGGAUGUGCAUCCAUCUCUCGUAGCGGUUAAACAGCCUUCACAAUGUCCCAUAACACAGAUGUAAUGUUACACACCUGGACUUUAGAUUCAGUAGUGUGCCUUUAUUUAUUUAUCUGUACGAAUUAUGAUUGUACUUUCCCCGUUUUAUGUUGCUGUUUUCCCUCCGUCUGACGUUGAGUUAAUUCGCGCAGUGCGUCUGGUUUCUCCUUUUAUAUUCACCCUGGUUUCCAUGGCAAAUAGCACAGCUUGUUAACAUCAAAGGUAGAAAAGAAAAAAGGCAGAACCAGUGCUUGAGAUCUCACAAGAUGAAACAGUGCUAAAAAACCCAACGGGGUCAUUGAAGGGUGAAGCUUUGCUUUUACUCCAAAACUUUGUAUGUGAUGUUAUAACGGUACUUUUUAUGUUGCUGCCGUCCUUUAAGCAAUUCAACUGUGCAGACCGGCGUUAACCCCCGAUUCUCAAAGGUCACUGCUGCAGAUCCUUGAACCUGCAUUCUCUGUAGUGACCAGCAGGGGGCGACUCCUCUGCUCCCAUAGACGUCUAUGAGGAAAUGACUCUACUUCUCUGUAGUGACCAGCAGGGGGCGACUCC